CAUAGUUACGUUUAUUCGGGUGCCCUGAGCAACAAGCUCUGGGCUUAAUAGGGAAGUCCGGUUCAAGUCCGGCGCGGUCCCGCCACUGUACGAGUGUAGUUCCCUGCAGCAGCCACUGUCCGAUCCGGAUGGGAAGGCGCAGAAGGACGUUGACGCUUCAGCCAGGAGACCUGCCCGAAUAAUCUCUCGUCA
Molecule: non-coding RNA, 192 nt
Filed under: Paenibacillaceae bacterium GAS479
Lineage: Bacteria; Bacillati; Bacillota; Bacilli; Caryophanales; Paenibacillaceae
Also listed under: 1 other name
Source: RNAcentral